GGGCUCGUUGGACUCCAUUCGUCAUCGCGGACCUCACUGUGGGCUCAAUAUACAUCGAAUCUCGAGGCAUCGAAUCCUAACAUGCUGUAUUUUUUUUUACAUCUCAUGUGCUCCCUCAAUUACAUCCACUAGCACAAAACCCUUUUGUAAUGCAAAAGUUGAUUCCAAGCAUCAUUACAGGAAGAUGAAGAAAUUCCAACUUAAUAUUGCCAACA
RNAcentral lists this long non-coding RNA (215 nucleotides) under Elaeis guineensis (African oil palm). Its description in RNAcentral is "long non-coding RNA (EGUI_LNC002611)". Lineage: Eukaryota; Viridiplantae; Streptophyta; Magnoliopsida; Arecales; Arecaceae. The record is from RNAcentral.